Magnolia sinica is the source of this 723-nucleotide long non-coding RNA. RefSeq lists it as uncharacterized. NCBI's taxonomy places the organism in Eukaryota, Viridiplantae, Streptophyta, Magnoliopsida, Magnoliales, Magnoliaceae. The transcript has 3 exons. The record is from RefSeq and is a predicted model, not a curated record.
UUUUCUUUUUGCUUUUAGUAAACUUCCUUUUAUCCUUCAAAAAAAAAAAAAAAGCAGGUUGAGUCAGAAAAUUUUAGAACUAUGAUUCCAUCUGCAGCUGCUACUUGUUCUAUGCAGGCAUGGUACUCGCAUGCAGCAAUUAAGGCUGGCCAUGAAGCAUCUACAUCUAUAGAGCAAAUUAUCUCCCCUGUGAUACUUUAACAUGUGAGUGGAACAUAGUUCAGAGCCAUUCACAACUAUUGACAUUGUUGAGAUUUUGGAGGUAAAGAGAAUUUUAUUAAAUCGAGGCGUAUGACCACCCGACUUACGAGACUUGCAGGGCAUGCCCACAAGCCUUCAAGUAAUUUGAGGUGUAUAACCACCCGACUUACGAGAAAAUCUCGUAAGUCGGCUGGUUCUCAGAUUCUUAUUUGGUUAAAAAUGUCAUGUUACGGUAUGUUUUUAGCUUCUUAUGUCUGUUUGUUCAUACAUACAUAAAUUUGUAUUUCAUUUACAGGUAAAGAGAGUUUUAUUAAAUUGAGGUGUAUAACCACCCGACUUACGAGACUUGCAGGGCAUGCCCACAAGCCUUCAAGUAAUUUGAGGUGUAUAACCACCCAACUUAACGAGAAAAUCUCACAAGUCGGGUGGUUCUCAGAAUCUUAUUUGGUUAAAAAUGUCAUGUUAUGGUAUGCUUUUAGCUUCUUAUGUCUGUUUGUUCAUAUACAUACAUAAAUUUGUAUU